RNAcentral lists this non-coding RNA (32 nucleotides) under Mus musculus (house mouse). Lineage: Eukaryota; Metazoa; Chordata; Mammalia; Rodentia; Muridae. The record is from RNAcentral.
UGGAACUUGCAUUAACUAAGUCCUUGGUCUGC